RNAcentral lists this non-coding RNA (2141 nucleotides) under Pongo abelii (Sumatran orangutan). The record is from RNAcentral. Lineage: Eukaryota; Metazoa; Chordata; Mammalia; Primates; Hominidae.
GACCCCAACCCCGGGCUCGACCCAACUUUCUAGGACAGUCGACACGGCCGGUGCCCCCGCGCCAGCAGCCCGGCCCAGUUCUCUCCGCCAGAGCUCUCCCGCUCACCGUCUGGGGCGAAGGCGACAGGCUGAGGCUCAGUUUUUUCACUCGCCACAUCUUCAACCAGAAGGCAGGCCGAUCACGCCUCAGACCAAGUCGAGGACGCCAUGUUCACCCGCCGUCUGUGUUUGAACCUGCUCUGCGCUUCCCAAUUGGCUGCUUCAGGCAGGCGCGUCCGCUCGGGGUUAGAGCCCGGGGGGCGGGGCCCGCGCUGACCACGCCCCCGGCCCUGCCUGCCCCUCGGUUGUCCAGCGCUUUCCGCUGAUGGAGCCCUCACCGCAGACACCAGCGGUAGGGCUGGAUGCGGGCCCGGCCCGGGACCGGUCUUGUGUCCUCACACCGGGGAGGACCACGCAGGUAGCUGGAGAGUCCAGGAGUCCAUCCCUCCUGCUUCCAGCGGACCCCCUCACAUCCGUGGUGUUCAUAUCCAAGUUGUCUCCGUGGAUGGAGAAGAGGAAUCCUCUCCCUAGGUCUCCCUCAGUCCUCUCCAGCCGCAGCCUUGACUGGAAAGAGCCGGCCAGGGAGUCUAGAAGCCGAAGCGGUGCCGAGCGGCUUCCCUAGGCUUGGUGGGCCCGCGUCCGGGACGGCCCAGGCCGUGGUUCUCGACCUGAGCUGUAAUGUCUCCAGUUUCUGGGCUUUUCCUGGGACUUGCUCAGGCCGGCUACCAGUUUACUGGGCUAACCGCCUACACGUAUUGAACACUGAGUGUGUGCCUGGCGCUGUGCCGAAUGCCGUGUAGUAGCUCAUUUAAUGCGCAUAAGGACCUACGUAGUGAGAAAUACUAUAAAUAUCCCCAUUUGUGACAGGAAGGAGCUGAGUCAGAGAGACCGUGUGUAAUUUGCUCAGCGUCACACAGAUAGUAAACGGCAGAGCCGCCCUUCCUCCCCGCCCCGCCAGCUCCUGCCUUCUGCUGUCUCGGAUCUCCUUUGCACGGGAAACCUGUUGAAGAAUGGACUCAGAGGAAACCGAAGAAAUCCCAAGCCACACCAAACAGGACCUCAAGACUCUCCCAUUUUUCUAUUAUCAGGGGCAUAUUUGGUACCUCUGGCGAUUUGCGAAAUGACCUUCUGACCCCAGAACUCCGAGUCAAACCCUGUGCCACACCCUUCCCAGGCCCCAGUGGUACUGCAUCAUCUGUUGCAAUCAGCUGCCGAGGCUUCACCACUGGUAUUCCUAUGAAAAAGCAAGUGCACCAGCCGUCAUCCAUCCUUGUUCUGAAGUCUCAGCUGUCUUUGGGGCUGCUACCCUAUUCUUCUGGGGCUCCACCAUAAAAGUUCUCACCAGUAGUCACCAGUUUGGACUUAUCCUCUUCAUCACCAACUUCAUCAUCUUCCACACUUCGGCCAGGAAAGAAAAAGCCCAUCAUUCUAUGGAAGAACUGGUGUGUCAGCUGGAUGGUGAGAGGCACCACAUUUACCUAAAAAGGAAAAAGAUUCAAGAAGCAAUUAAGCUCAGACACCAUCAUCAGUUUACCUACUCCUAAUAUCGUGUAACACACAGCUGGCUUUUGAAUGUCCUUUGUUCCCAGGUCCCUAAGGGACUGCUUACUAACCUCAAAAUGCUCCUUAACAGAGAUACCCCCAACAGGGGGCCGAACUUUGCUGAAGAGGCGGAGAGCUAGCUGUCGCCCAGACUGGCAGGAGCUCUGGGGCCGCAGUACUACCUGUAGGAUAGAGAGUAAACAAGAGCCCAACCCGAUGUCCUUCCUGCCAUAAAGCAACCCACAAAUCCUCUGCAGAAUGAGAGGAGAAGCAAUGGUACUGCUAAGCUGGGCAAGCUUUCACCCUCUCAGAUCACCACAUUGUUUUCCAUAGUGGAUUUAUAUUGAAGGGCCGUUAUAAAUGCCCCGUGCUAAAAACAUGCAAAUGGACUAGGAAUGGGGGAAAAAGACUUGCCUUAUAGACAGCAUUGGGGAGGAGGUUGUUCAUGGUAAACCAGCCCAACUCCAGGAGAUGUUCUGCUGUGUCAUCAGACUUAUUCACCUAUAAAGACAGAUUUCACCCCAUCUACUAUAAUAAACUUUUCUCAGAAGUCUACUAGA